CUCUUCCAAAUGAACCAGAGGGCUUUAAGGAAAUUUACUGAAUCCUUGAAAAACUAAUCAUCCCUUUACAGCCUCGGGUGAGUUACUGCAAAAUUUAAUUUCUGCUAAGCUAUCUGAGAUUGCAAACAGCAAAAUGAAUGCAUGGUAUUUACCUGUCUGCUGAGUUUCUGUUUUUCUCUCUGACCCACACUUCAGAGUGUGUCAUGCUCUUGCAAAGCACUUUGGGAUGCCCAGCAUCUUACAGUGACCCUAGGUAUCUGUGACAUUGAUUUUUGUCCCUCCCAGCCCAUGGGUAGAGAGAGUAAUGGUUCACCCUUUAUAAGCCCAUUCAUCUUGUUACAAAGUUCAUUCAAUAAGUUUUUUUUUUUUCUUUUCUUAAUCAUUUGAAAAUUAACUUGAC
This 400-nucleotide long non-coding RNA is filed under the name Bos taurus (domestic cattle). Its description in RNAcentral is "long non-coding RNA NONBTAT011422". Lineage: Eukaryota; Metazoa; Chordata; Mammalia; Artiodactyla; Bovidae. The record is from RNAcentral.